This is an RNA transcript of Mangifera indica (mango), 2426 nucleotides long. RefSeq lists it as uncharacterized. The record is from RefSeq and is a predicted model, not a curated record. NCBI's taxonomy places the organism in Eukaryota, Viridiplantae, Streptophyta, Magnoliopsida, Sapindales, Anacardiaceae. The transcript is spliced from 3 exons.
UUUGGGCUUUACGCAUGGAGAGAGUGCCGUGACCGGCGAACAAAUAUUAAUUAAUAAUUAAUAUAUUAUUUUCAAUACUCGACAGCGCUGCCAUGAAAUUUCCAAGCUGUGAAAAUCGGUGGCAACUGCCAAGACAAUACAACACAAAGAAGAGUCGAAGACCAGCUACACGGUUUCCAGAUUGGAAAGAAAAAGUCUUUCGUCUUCCUUGAUUUCAUCGUUCACCCAUUUUAUAAACGAAACGCAGAACUAAACUAAGCAAAACGACGGACGAUGGCUUCAAUCUACAGUUGCAGCGACUGCGGGAGCAAUCUGAACCUGAAGACCACCCAUCUCUAUCCUGCUGACUUCUUCUUCGAGGCGGGCAACAAGGGCUCACUCUCUUUCGCUUUGAUCGACGACACCAAGUUCAGUUUCGAGAAAGAGGACAAGGUGAGACCCUUUUUUGAAACUCGAAACUACUGGGGAAUUCAGCGAAACAGGACCAAGAUUAAAUGCAAUAGUUGUGGUUUUCAUCUUGGGUUCAUUUACGAUGAUGGCCCUCCGCUGACUGAAAGACCUGGCCGGGCCUUUCCCUUUGGAACCAGUCAAGCCAUUCCUAGAGCUCCGAGAUACAGGUUCAAGACCAAGGCACUUCGGAUCUCCUCCGAGACUUGAACAAUUUGCUACUCUGUUCUGUUCUGUUCCGUUUUGUAUUUUCGAUGGGGGUUCUUAUGUAGAUAUGCUUGUUUUAAUUUAUAUAAUGGAAUUUUAAUUUCAAUUUCAUUUUAUCUUUGCAUUCAAUUUUUGGAAAUUGAGUUUAUAAGUUAAGAAAUCAUGGUGAUUUCCACUGUGGGGUAGACAAAAUUUUUAACUUUGGUAUGUUUAUAUUAGCAUCUCAAAGACUCUGUCUAAUCAUCUAAAAUUUUAUGAAAGAAAGGAUUGAAUGGAAUGUGAUUCUAGUUCAAAAAUUUUGAAGGGGGAGGUGGUGUAAUCUGUUCCUAUCCCAAGUACGAGGAACAAAACUUGAAUCUUAUAUUGAAAAGUAUAGUGUUAUGUGGUUUAUAUAUGCUGGACUUUUCAAGCUCAACAGAUAACUUUUGAUGGGUGGCACUCCCAAAUUUCUGAUCGUAACUUUUAAUGGUAUUGUUGCCCAAUCAUUUAUUGGGUCUUGGAACAAACCAAAACCUUCCUUUGAGUUUUCUGGGUGCUGGGAUGGUUAAGUUAUUUCAUUAAAUACUGCCCUUCGUUUGGUUAAAUAAUUCUGAAUUUUUAUCCAAAGCUAGAUUCCCAUUAUAUAUGUACAAAAUAAAAGAAAAUUUUAUUGUACAAUGAUUAGGUUAGCUUGAUUGAGAAAUUUUUGUUUGGAUUAUUGUUGGCCGUCAUCAAUUUGCAAGAAUUGGAGUUACCAGUUACCGCAUUAUGGAAUUUGGAUUUUCUGUUGCUAACUUAGUCAGUUGUUACUUGAAAAUUUAGGUUACACCUGCCAGUCAAAUUUUCUUUUUUAUGUUUAGUUGCAGAGACAGCCCAGGAGGAUCAUAUACUGUUGAACUUUGUGAAAACAACUGGGCAGAUUUGUGUGGGAAAUUCUUCAUCAGUCACAGUUGAAAGGUAGGUUGGAUUAGUAGCUAUGGCCGUUGGUUAUUAAUGUCAUUCUUUGUGGCAUUUAUUUGUUAAUUUUAUGUCUUCUAUCAUAUAGUGAUUGCAUACGGUGUAUUUUUAGAAAAACUAGAAAAGGAAAUUAGCAAAAGAGUGUCUCGUGAUGAAGCCAAUGAAGGUGGAAACUGAAAGUGCUAGUGCAAAGACAAAACAGGAAGUUCCACCACCACCUCCACCGCUUCCGACAGGAAGAAUCUGGGUACGGAAGACGGUUACAGAGAGCAUAACGAAGCAAGAGAUUGCCAGGUUCUGGAUGCAGAAGCGCGUUGUCGAAGAAGAUCAUCUCCUUGCUGCUAUCAAGGCUGCAGCACGUAUCAGGGCUCGUAAUAUCUCGGAGGAAGACUACAAGCAGUUUGUAGAGUCCUUAAAGGAUGAUGACGGUAAUGAAGCUUGCAAGAAGAAUUCUUCCAGCAUCCCCAGUAGCAAACAAGACGAGAUUGUCAACGAAGUGCGCGUGGGAAUAAAGGACUGGUGGACCAAAAGCAAGUAUGCAUACCUGAACCAACCUGCCAUCGAAUCCAUGGAGCCUCCCAGAAAACGAACUUCAACUUACAUUCCCAGUUGUUUUACUUACAAACCUGUUCCCGUGUAUCCUUCUUCUCUCGGAGUCUUUUAGACCAUUGCAGCUUCCUUCAAUUGAAUAUUGCAUUGAUUGAUAUUAUGAAAUUUGAUAGCAAUGUAUGAAUGUGAUCUGCCCAAUUGAGAGGCUUUACAUUUAAUAAGUCUGUUUUCAGAUGUUACUGUUAGUAUUUACUUCAGAAACAAGAAGCAGCUUCAUUUUGCAGGUA